Molecule: ribosomal RNA, 376 nt
Filed under: uncultured bacterium
Lineage: Bacteria
Description: bacterial SSU rRNA
Rfam family: Bacterial small subunit ribosomal RNA
Source: RNAcentral
AUACGUAGGUGGCAAGCGUUGUCCGGAUUUACUGGGUGUAAAGGGCGAGUAGGCGGGGAUGCAAGUCAGAUGUGAAAUACCGAGGCUUAACUUCGGGGCUGCAUUUGAAACUGCAUUUCUUGAGUGAUGGAGAGGCAGGCGGAAUUCCCGGUGUAGCGGUGAAAUGCAUAGAGAUCGGGAGGAACACCAGUGGCGAAGGCGGCCUGCUGGACAUUAACUGACGCUGAGGCGCGAAAGUGUGGGGAGCAAACAGGAUUAGAUACCCUGGUAGUCCACACCGUAAACGAUGGAUACUAGGUGUGGGGGGUCUGACCCCCUCCGUGCCGGAGUUAACACAAUAAGUAUCCCACCUGGGGAGUACGAUCGCAAGAUUGAA